Molecule: ribosomal RNA, 332 nt
Filed under: uncultured bacterium
Lineage: Bacteria
Description: bacterial SSU rRNA
Rfam family: Bacterial small subunit ribosomal RNA
Source: RNAcentral
CGCGUAGGCGGUUUUUUAAGUCAGAUGUGUAAUCCCCGAGCUCAACUUGGGAACUGCAUCUGAGACUGGAAGGCUAGAGUACUGGAGAGGGUGGUAGAAUUCCACGUGUAGCGGUGAAAUGCGUAGAGAUGUGGAGGAAUACCAGUGGCGAAGGCGGCCACCUGGACAGUAACUGACGCUGAGGCGCGAAAGUGUGGGUAGCAAACAGGAUUAGAUACCCUGGUAGUCCACGCUGUAAACGAUGAACACUUGGUGUGGUGGGAGUUGACCCCCGCCGUGCCGGAGCUAACGCGUUAAGUGUUCCGCCUGGGGAGUACGGUCGCAAGGCUGAA